AGAGUUUGAUCCUGGCUCAGGAUGAACGCUGGCGGCGUGCUUAACACAUGCAAGUCGAACGAAGCACUUUAUUUGAUUUCCUUCGGGACUGAUUAUUUUGUGACUGAGUGGCGGACGGGUGAGUAACGCGUGGGUAACCUGCCUUGUACAGGGGGAUAACAGUUGGAAACGGCUGCUAAUACCGCAUAAGCGCACGGCAUCGCAUGAUGCAGUGUGAAAAACUCCGGUGGUAUAAGAUGGACCCGCGUUGGAUUAGCUAGUUGGUGAGGUAACGGCCCACCAAGGCAACGAUCCAUAGCCGACCUGAGAGGGUGACCGGCCACAUUGGGACUGAGACACGGCCCAAACUCCUACGGGAGGCAGCAGCGGGGAAUAUUGCACAAUGGGCGAAAGCCUGAUGCAGCGACGCCGCGUGAGCGAAGAAGUAUUUCGGUAUGUAAAGCUCUAUCAGCAGGGAAGAUAAUGACGGUACCUGACUAAGAAGCACCGGCUAAAUACGUGCCAGCAGCCGCGGUAAUACGUAUGGUGCAAGCGUUAUCCGGAUUUACUGGGUGUAAAGGGAGCGCAGGCGGUGCGGCAAGUCUGAUGUGAAAGCCCGGGGCUCAACCCCGGUACUGCAUUGGAAACUGUCGUACUAGAGUGUCGGAGGGGUAAGCGGAAUUCCUAGUGUAGCGGUGAAAUGCGUAGAUAUUAGGAGGAACACCAGUGGCGAAGGCGGCUUACUGGACGAUAACUGACGCUGAGGCUCGAAAGCGUGGGGAGCAAACAGGAUUAGAUACCCUGGUAGUCCACGCCGUAAA
This 800-nucleotide ribosomal RNA is filed under the name uncultured bacterium. RNAcentral's name for it is "bacterial SSU rRNA". It matches the Rfam family "Bacterial small subunit ribosomal RNA", at positions 8 to 806 of the family's 1533-position model. The record is from RNAcentral.